GUGGAUUAGAUACCCUGGUAGUCCACGCCGUAAACGAUGUCGACUUGGAGGUUGUGCCCUUGAGGCGUGGCUUCCGGAGCUAACGCGUUAAGUCGACCGCCUGGGGAGUACGGCCGCAAGGUUAAAACUCAAAUGAAUUGACGGGGGCCCGCACAAGCGGUGGAGCAUGUGGUUUAAUUCGAUGCAACGCGAAGAACCUUACCUACUCUUGACAUCCAGAGAACUUUCCAGAGAUGGAUUGGUGCCUUCGGGAACUCUGAGACAGGUGCUGCACGGUUGUCGCCAGCU
This 288-nucleotide ribosomal RNA is filed under the name uncultured bacterium. RNAcentral's name for it is "partial 16S ribosomal RNA". It matches the Rfam family "Bacterial small subunit ribosomal RNA", at positions 773 to 1060 of the family's 1533-position model. The record is from RNAcentral.